UACGGAGGGAGCUAGCGUUGUUCGGAAUUACUGGGCGUAAAGCGCACGUAGGCGGCUUUGUAAGUUAGGGGUGAAAGCCCGGAGCUCAACUCCGGAAUUGCCUUUAAGACUGCAUCGCUUGAAUCCGGGAGAGGUGAGUGGAAUUCCGAGUGUAGAGGUGAAAUUCGUAGAUAUUCGGAAGAACACCAGUGGCGAAGGCGACUCACUGGACACAUAUUGACGCUGAGGUGCGAAAGCGUGGGGAGCAAACAGG
Molecule: ribosomal RNA, 253 nt
Filed under: uncultured bacterium
Lineage: Bacteria
Description: partial 16S ribosomal RNA
Rfam family: Bacterial small subunit ribosomal RNA
Source: RNAcentral